UUUGCCGUGCUUCCGUAUGAAGGAAUCUCGUGAUGGCCAAAAAGUGUUUUGUCCCCCGUUGCAUGAGUGGACAAAAGCGCUGUCGCGAGAAGUACUCAAUAUUUGCUGCUCCCAAAGACGAGGCACUACUCGAGCUCUGGCGACGUGCGAUACGAAGGAAGGACCGCCAGCUUCAGGCGACUGACCACGUCUGCGAGAAACAUUUCGAGCCUUGUCUCGUAUCAAAGACCUGGAAGGCCGAAUACAACGGAAGGGUGCUGGUCAGCACGCCCCGACGUGCUUGCUUGUCGAAGGACGCCGUACCGACCAGGUUUCUGGAAUGUCCGUCGUACCUCCUGGAAGUCGAGAAGCCCAGGAGGAGGGGCCGUGCGGGAAGGCAGCUUCCAGCAGAAAAGAAAAGUGCAGUGUCUAGCGGCGGCAGUGAACGCCGUGAUGUUGAUCCAAGUUCUUGCGCGCCGUCGACGUCUGCGUUCGACGACGACGACGGCGGCGGCGGCACGCAUGCAACGGGCGAAGAACGCCGUGGCCGAGAAGGAACCGACCGUGGCCCGUGUGCCACGGCAGUUUCUUCACUUGCGGGCUCGCUCGAUAAGCUGCCGCCUCCGUGCCUGCCGUCGAAUUCGGGGGAAUGUCGUCGACUUGAAACGAGCGAGGGUUUUUUUGGCCCAGACCAGUUCCAGAUGGCCCUGAGGAGGUCCGACGAGGAAAAGGAGGGGAGCGCCCACGAUGUGCAGGGCCAUUCUGACACCGAAGAAAGCGAAUCGAUACUGCCGGACGAUGGACCGGGGUGGGGCAGUUCCAGUGACAACAGUCUGACGCGAGCUGUUACUAUCAAAACAGAACCACCAGAAUAUGUUGAACAGGACGAAGAGCCUAGCAGCCAUCUUGUGUCUGUUAAAUCAGAGCCAGAAUUUUACGAAGAUGUUAAGGAACCUAACAGCCUAUUGCCAGCUCUUACGAAAGAUUACACGGACAUGACAAAGGUCACGUUCCACUUCAAUGCAGAGCCACAGGUUUCCGAAGAGACUCGACUUUGGCACAACACGACAGUGGCCGUUAAGAUUGAGCCGCCAGAUCCGACAGAAGUCCACACCGAGACAGUUUCCACGGGGACGGUGUUGGGUGGUUCCAGCGGCAACACUGUGAUGACGGCUGUUACUAUUAAGACGGAGCCACCAGAAUAUGUUGAACAGGACGAAGAGCCUAGCAGCCAUCUUGUAUCUGUUAAAUCAGAGCCGGAAUGUUACGAGGAAAUUUGGGAACCUAGGAACCCAGUGCCAGCUCUUACGAAUGAGCCGCAGGUUUCCGAAGGGGCCCAACAACGUGGCAACGCAGCGGUGGCCGUCAAAACUGAGCCUCAAGAUCCGACGGAAGUCGACGCUCCAGCGAUUUUUCUGGGGGCAGAUCUGGGUGCGGCACCUCUGAAAGAGUUCCAGCAAGCUCCUGUCCCCACGAAUUCUAUUGGCUCGUACGCCGUCGUGGCCCGGCCACUACGGUGGGUCCCCACCUCCGUCCGCAACGAAGUGCAGCCGCAGGCAGACAUCGUCUACUUGCGCAACGUGGAACGGCACGGCAUUCCGAUUCAGCCCGUGGUGGCGACACUGCCAGUCGUGGCGGUGCUGCCGGAACGACCGGACGUCGUGCCGCCAUGACUUCCUGGUUUAGGACUUUUUGGCCUAGAUCUGUUCCAGAUAGCCUUGAGGAGAUCCGAUAAGGAAACGGAGGGGAACGCCAAUGGUAUGGACCCUCUUCUCUCAUUGGCUGCUUCGUAG
Ixodes scapularis (black-legged tick) is the source of this 1772-nucleotide RNA transcript. RefSeq lists it as uncharacterized. The record is from RefSeq and is a predicted model, not a curated record. Lineage: Eukaryota; Metazoa; Arthropoda; Arachnida; Ixodida; Ixodidae. The transcript has 16 exons.